CAUAAUGACGUCACAAAGUCAAAGCAAGUGAACUCCUUGUCCCAUUUUCAUGGCUUACCACUACGGAAUAUGAUGAAAUUACAGUUUGAAUGGGAGAACACCAACCUCACCAGCAGCCACAGUAGAAGGGGAAACAUCAGCAACAGCAAGAACAUCAGCUACCAGAACGAAGGAGCAGAAGUUUCUAACAAUUACCAAUGUGCUCCCCACCUUUACCAAAACUUCAGGCUCAAUACUGCAGCCAAUUGGGAGGGUGCUUAAAACCACCUCCGACACAAAUGAAACAGCAGGCACUCCAAAGCAGAAUCAACCAGCCUCUUGUAAGGCAGAAGACUGACACACAGAUUCAAGGUAACUCUGGAUCAUGUGAGGAAGGGCCACACCUGCAGGGAGACAGGCAAAGACUCCAAUCAUGUGGCCUCUGAUGUUCAGAUAUGUCUGAAGCUACCUUCCACUUCAUAUCAAGCAAGCAGGAGCUACUCACCAACUGCUUCUUAGAACUACUAGAGGGAAUCGCUGGCUGCUCUUGACCAUCUGAAAAAGUUGUUCUUAAAAAGUUGUUCUUAAAGCAUGCCAUAGUACUGUAGUAAUUUUCCCCCCAGCUCUUCCUCUCACCCCCAACCCCAUAAAUGUUUCUCUGAAAAUAGUAUAAAGAUAGGCCCAGA
This is a non-coding RNA of Pogona vitticeps (central bearded dragon), 665 nucleotides long. NCBI's taxonomy places the organism in Eukaryota, Metazoa, Chordata, Lepidosauria, Squamata, Agamidae. The record is from RefSeq and is a predicted model, not a curated record.